This is a long non-coding RNA of Sinocyclocheilus anshuiensis, 90 nucleotides long. RefSeq lists it as uncharacterized. NCBI's taxonomy places the organism in Eukaryota, Metazoa, Chordata, Actinopteri, Cypriniformes, Cyprinidae. The transcript is spliced from 3 exons. The record is from RefSeq and is a predicted model, not a curated record.
CCAUCUUUAUUAUAGGGUCACGUGGAUCUCAGUCGCUUCAGCAGGAGUUUUUCUGUGUGUUUGGAUACUUUGUCCUUUCUUCAUCCGAAA